Molecule: ribosomal RNA, 492 nt
Filed under: uncultured bacterium
Lineage: Bacteria
Description: partial 16S ribosomal RNA
Rfam family: Bacterial small subunit ribosomal RNA
Source: RNAcentral
AGUGAACGCUGGCGGUAGGCCUAACACAUGCAAGUCGAACGGCAGCACAGUAAGAGCUUGCUCUUACGGGUGGCGAGUGGCGGACGGGUGAGGAAUACAUCGGAAUCUACUUUUUCGUGGGGGAUAACGUAGGGAAACUUACGCUAAUACCGCAUACGACCUACGGGUGAAAGCAGGGGAUCUUCGGACCUUGCUCGAUUGAAUGAGCCGAUGUCGGAUUAGCUAGUUGGCGGGGUAAAGGCCCACCAAGGCGACGAUCCGUAGCUGGUCUGAGAGGAUGAUCAGCAACACUGGAACUGAGACACGGUCCAGACUCCUACGGGAGGCAGCAGUGGGGAAUAUUGGACAAUGGGCGCAAGCCUGAUCCAGCCCUACCGCGUGGGUGAAGAAGGCCUUCGGGUUGUAAAGCCCUUUUGUUGGGAAAGAAAAGCAGCAGGUUAAUACCCCGCUGUUCUGACGGUACCCAAAGAAUAAGCACCGGCUAACUUCGUG